GUUGUUGCAAUCGUUAUAACGUUACUGUAAUCAAACUUAUAUGUUUUAUAGAUUUACCGAGCAAUCAAAACAAAGUAUAACGUUACAGUUUACUACAUCUUUACUACAACUUCGUACACAAUUCACAGAGCAAUAAAGUAUAACUGUAAGUUACUACGGCUUUACUACAGCUUCGUGCACAAUGGAGCCUCGCUUCAGGAGACGGGCUGAUGGCAGCCUGAAUCUUUCGGACACACUGGAAGCAGCAAAGGUGAAGGAAGCCAACAAAGGAAAGCCUUACACAAGACCCCUGUCCCCGGAGGCUGUGCU
Paramisgurnus dabryanus is the source of this 309-nucleotide non-coding RNA. Lineage: Eukaryota; Metazoa; Chordata; Actinopteri; Cypriniformes; Cobitidae. The record is from RefSeq and is a predicted model, not a curated record.